Populus nigra (black poplar) is the source of this 1044-nucleotide long non-coding RNA. RefSeq lists it as uncharacterized. The record is from RefSeq and is a predicted model, not a curated record. The transcript has 2 exons. Lineage: Eukaryota; Viridiplantae; Streptophyta; Magnoliopsida; Malpighiales; Salicaceae.
UAAUUUUGGUAUUAGAUUAAACUCAUCGAAACAUAUAUAUUGAGUGUCCAAAUUCAACUCCUAACAAAUACGUAUAAAUCAAUCACCUCAAGUAUUUGGGUUUUUAUUAGUAGUAAAAAUAAGGGUAUGCUAGUUAAUUUAAUAUAAAAUAUGGAAGAAAUUAAGUAAAAAAAAAUAUUGAAUGUCCUGACAUCUCAAAUUCCACUUUUAAAAUAGAAUUACAUUCUCAGCUUUUGUGAGGAAUCUCAAGACAUAUGAUAUUUUUAGGGAUUCAAUAUUUUUUUUAUAUAUGCUAAGAGCAAAAUCUCAAAUUGCUUUUUUUCAGAUAAUCUUGAAUGUCGUUGCACCAAAGGUAUCAUAGGGAAACUUUUCAAUUCCAUGAGUUUUUUUUUUAUAUAAAAAAACCAUCAAUGAUACUUGUCAUUUCCAGUACUUUUUAACUUUUUAUGGCCUUACCCAACUCCGAGAAGGAAGAAGCCUACAAUUUGUCAAAUAGGCCGCUGCAUGAAACAUCAACCUUCAAGUUUUCCGGUCUAUAUUCACUAGAUCACGGUUCAUGCAAUAAACAGAGACUGAGAGGCAGCAUAUUUGGAAGGCUACUGCUUUCCGUCUCUCUUUCUCUCGUGUUGUAUAUGGCUAUUUGUCUGAGGUUAUUUUCUCCAGCUCCUGCUGCUAAAAUUUCUCUACCAAACCAUAAACCUACUCCUUUAUUCUCCUCACAAAUCCAACAUCAUACCUUGGAGAAAAUCCCACCACCGAAUCCUAAGCAGCAAGUUUUGGAAGCUUUCUUGACUUGAAAUCUGAACCGAAACCAGAGUUCUUGGAUUUUGAUUUCUCAUGGUUUGAUCCUGCUGAUAGGUCUAGCUUUGAUGUGAUCGUUAUUGGCACUGGCCCGGUUGGUCCAUAUCUCGCCGAACAAGUGUCCCGAUAUGGAGUUAAGAUUGUUUGGACAAAACAUGGCCUAUGACUUGUCUCAAUAUUGAUGAUCACAAGACCAAGUAUUUAGACCAUCCUCGCGGCUGUGUUGGUAGGAAGGAAUUGAAG